Molecule: long non-coding RNA, 1551 nt
Organism: Clarias gariepinus (North African catfish)
Lineage: Eukaryota; Metazoa; Chordata; Actinopteri; Siluriformes; Clariidae
Exons: 3
Source: RefSeq, a predicted model, not a curated record
UGUGCACCUACACAUGCACCUGACUGAAGUUGAGUGCAAGCAUAAGCGACUGUAUUCUUGUGAAACAAGUUCGUACUGAUGUAUGUGGAAAAGACUAUACAUGCUGCCAGCAAUAGGUGCAGCGUAUCUGAGUGGUGAAGUCAUUAUAGCACUGCAACGACGCCAUCACAGACGAACCUAAAAAGAGGGUCAUACAGUAUGAUAAGGUCAUCUGUCAGAAAAGGCUUGGAGCCAUAAGCAUGUGAGACCUUCAUUUUGAAAAGCAAGCAUGGUGUGUAUACAACAGGCAACUGCUACAUUUCAUUGUACAGACUAACAGAACAGUUAAAACGCCCUUCAUUCCUAUAUAUAAUUCCCUAAUGCACUUAUCCCCGUGUUUCACUAGUACAUGGUUAAACGCUUUCUCAGUACAUCGGAGCCAUGGUCGGACUCCAUGCUUCACGUCUGAAACACUGGCCUUCCAAGAACUCCUUUAAUGGCCCAAACAUGUGGAAAUGGCUUGGAGUUAGUUCCCAAAGACAGAUGCAUCUCUACUGCAAGUUGGUGACAUGUCUAUUAGCUGAAUGUUCACAGAAAUGACAGAAGUGGGCUCGGCCAGGAUCAUCAUUCACGAACAUAUGGACUUUGUUAAAAUAUUUGCACCAUUCAGAUGUUUUACUGCAGCAAAGAGUUCAAACAAUUCUUGAUUCUAAAUGUUUAGAAGACAUGUCUUUUUUCACAUGUUCUAUGCUAGCAGCUCAGAUCAUGGUUCUGGUUGUACUGCGAAUACUGCACAGUUUUAUUAUAAUACGCUAACUGCAAUAUAUUGUCAUUUCCACAAUAACAACUAACACAGAGACUUUGGCAUGCACCAAAAAUUGUGUGUAAUUGUUGAUGUACUGAGGAGACGUUUACUCAUCAGUGUAAAAUAGCACUGUGCCUUUAAGCUAUUACAACGUAAGAAACAUUAAAAUUACUGGUCAUGAGCUUUGGUUAAUGUUCACAUCAAUCAUCAGAAUGGGGGAAGGAUCAUAUGUUAUUUAAUUUGGUCAUGGAAUAGUGUUGGUUGUGGUGUAAAUCCUUCAAGAACUGCUGAGAUACUGGGAUUUUCAGACUGGUGCAAAACAACAAAAAACAUCCAGUGAGUGGUAGAUCUGCAGACAGAAAUGGCUUGUUGAUAAGGGAGGGUUCGAGCAGUAUGGCCAGAGUGGUUCAGACUGACAGGAAGCAGUAACUAAAAUAAAACAAGCCUUGAAACCACAGUGUACUGAAAAGUCGACUUCGAAAGUACACCAAUUUGAAUCUUGAAGUGGCUAGACUACAACAGCAGAAGACGACAUACUUAAAAUCACAGAAAUCACAUUUUCCUCAUUUUUAUGUCAUUAAUGUAUGCUUCAAACUUGUUUCUUCACUACAUUAAGGAUUCUGAUUGGAUAAUUGCAUGAAUGAGCACGGGUACAGGUGUUUCUGUUAAUGUUUCCAGUAAACAUCAUAAAGCAUGGUCCUGAACCAUGUGAUGUGCUGUGAGAUUGGGAAGAAUAGUGUCCAGAAAAACCUAUUGAUAGUAGUUGU